GUCCGGCUGGCUCAGUUGGUAGAGCAUGGGACUCUCGAUCUCGGGGUCAUGAUUCGAGCCCCAUGUUGGGCA
This 72-nucleotide transfer RNA is filed under the name Ailuropoda melanoleuca (giant panda). It matches the Rfam family "tRNA". Rfam says of the family: Transfer RNA (tRNA) molecules are approximately 80 nucleotides in length. Their secondary structure includes four short double-helical elements and three loops (D, anti-codon, and T loops). The record is from Rfam by way of RNAcentral. Lineage: Eukaryota; Metazoa; Chordata; Mammalia; Carnivora; Ursidae.